Molecule: non-coding RNA, 2674 nt
Organism: Ictidomys tridecemlineatus (thirteen-lined ground squirrel)
Lineage: Eukaryota; Metazoa; Chordata; Mammalia; Rodentia; Sciuridae
Source: RefSeq, a predicted model, not a curated record
CCUUGGCGCCCCUCUCCCCGCUCCAGUCACGUCCUCCUACUUCACAUGUCCCACCCUCGCGCCACAGGUCGCGCCUGGAGGACGCCGUGGCUCCUGAGUUCCUCCUUGGCACGUGGGGCUGGAUCCUGCUUCGUGCCUGACUCCAGGAGCCGGUCCCCACGAGAAGAAGCAACUCGGUGGAGGAAGUGUGGCUGACAAUUAGAAAAACACCCAGCCCCUGCCCCGGGGUGGAAGGUGAGACUCUGGACAGCUCAGCUCUGAUAAGGACUGUCUCGUCGGAGGCCCGAGGGCCCACGUGGAUCCCACCUGGCAAUCAAAGCAAUGAUCACAAAUGUUGUAACCAGAAGCCACAAAACCAAGUUACAGUCAACUUCCUUUGACCUCCCCUGGGAAUUUCGUGGCCCAUUACUCUGGGCUAAGGUGGAAGGAAGGAUCUCUCCUGUUAUGACCUGAAAAUAUUUUUUCUGAGUUCCUCAUUCAAUUCUGAUGACUGUGCUGCUCUUGGACACAAGGCCAAAAGUCUGGAUCAGGGAAGGAGCCACUUCUCUACUUCAACUUCCAUGUUGUUGGAGGAGGUAUCAGAACAAAUAGAAAGUUCCUAAGAACCAGGUUCAUGUUCAGAAUCAAUGAGCUAAGUGAAUUUGUGUUACCUCCUGUCAUCGGAAGGUAUCUAAAAGGAAGUUAUACCAGCAAGUUCUUAUUUUUUUCUAACUCCCUGUUACACAGAGCCCAGGUAGCUGAAAUUUAUUCCUGUUACACUGCCAUGAAUGCCAUCAGUAUGGACUGUCAGACCUGUUUUCAGUGGGGAAUAAAAAUCAAUGCAAAACUGAUUAUUUGGCCAACAUCUGAUAGGGACUGGAGAAGGUGCUAAUUGCUAGGCUUACAUUUCAGGAAACAACUUAUUUUGUUGUAUUGGUGCCAGUUAAUACAAAAGCCAUGCUUGGUGACUACACCAUUUCCAACUAGCAUUAAUCUGAUGUCACAUAAUCUCAUUACCAGGUCAGGUUGGUACAUGGGACACACCUCCAUGUUUGCACAUUUCAAAUUUAUGUACAUUAGUUUGGAAAAUGAAACUAUUCUUCCCUGCCUUCAGCACCUUCCCAUAGUUUCUAGUAGAGUAGCUAAAAUGAUUUGAAAAGGUCUUUGAAAAGCUUCUUUGUCGAGGGCCCCUCAAAUUAGCUCAUCCCAAAGAAUUCAAAGCCUGUGCCAUUUUUACAAGUGUUUAUAUAGUGAGGACCACAUCCAAACAAUACAGGGCCCUGGGCUGAUCUGGAGACAAGGGAAGGAGGUUCCCAAGAAUUGGUACAGCAAUGAAGCCACUGGAGAAUGAGGCUCCCAGGGCCAGUCUCACAGGUGAGUGCUCUGCCUUUCCAGAAACACCUUCUCCUCCUCAGUCCUAGUGGGCCCGAGUCCAGAAUCCCAUAUUAGUGACCGACUCCCUGAACCCCAUCCCUGAACCAUCCCCUCUGGCCUAGUCCAUCCCAGCGUCCCCAUAUCUGAAUUCCACAUGUAUUUGGAUUUCUACUCUUGGAAACUACAUCCUUAAGCUUCCCAGUUUAUCCUGUGUAAAGCCCAAUAAAACAUAAACGAGUACAGGCCCUGGAACCUUCCAUUCAGCACCUAGCAGUGCAACUUGGACCAAGUUACAUAUCUCCUUUGUACCCUCACUUCCUCCAGUGAAAAGGUGGGCUAGUCUGUCUAAAACUAACAAGUAAAGGGAGGAAGAAAAGGGGUCUAGCAGCAUUCUCUUAUCUCCUUGGUUUGGCAGGAGAAUUAAAUACAGUAUUAUCCAUCAUUCCUGGAAAUACCCAUUAUAAUCAAUAUUAUUAGAGCAGAAAACCUAUCUGGCAUCAAUGGAGCAGAGGUGUUUGUUUUUUUUUUUUUUUGAAUGACUUAUUUGCAUGUAUGAAAUGUGCUUACCCUAAAAAAACACUUUUUUAUGGACAAAGGGAAAUGAUGUUAUAACUAUUUAAAAAGAUUCUGCUGGGAACAAAAACCUACUUGAAAAUUACUAAAUUGGACUUAUAUGAAUUGCUCAUUUAAGCAGAUGGUAAGAAAGAGAGAGUAAAUCUGUUUUCAAUUUUUUUAAAAUCUUUAAGAAGAUGAAGGGGCCAACAGCAAAUAGAAGCAUGGAAAGCAUUUUGCAAUCAAGGACACGCAGGCCCUGGAGGAAGGAAGAGACCACCCUUCCUAACUAGCAGGUAGUGAGGCUGCUGACUUCAACCACGGAGAUCACUUCCUCCACACCAGGCUCCAAGCCAAUGCUGUCACCACUUUAGUCAUUUUCCCGGCAUCUGGGAGGCCAGGAACCACUAUGACUCCCCUUCUAGGACACACAAAGGAUGUGGAACCUGCCCAGGAAGAGGUCUCCUGCCCGCUGUACUGAGCAGGUAAGGAUGCUCCCACGAUCCUGGUCACCGUGGCCCUCAAGCAGCCCCUAGAGAAAGCCGAGCUCUGGAAAUAUGUGGUUCCAGGAAAAAAGGAAUCCUGGUGAUGUUGAUUAAAGCAAGACUUGCCUCCCCAAGAGAAAUGACACUGUAAGAAACAGAAAUGAGGUACGUGGGUGUGAAGAGGGACUUCUCUAAAUUGAAAGGAGUACUGCCUCUGAAAACUAGAACCAAACUGGCGGCAAUAGUUCGCUCAUUUAGAAAUAUUGGUAAAUACCCACCAUGUG